This 2891-nucleotide ribosomal RNA is filed under the name Acinetobacter baumannii 25569_5. Its description in RNAcentral is "bacterial LSU rRNA". It matches the Rfam family "Bacterial large subunit ribosomal RNA". Lineage: Bacteria; Pseudomonadati; Pseudomonadota; Gammaproteobacteria; Moraxellales; Moraxellaceae. The record is from RNAcentral.
UCAAGUAAUUAAGUGCAUGUGGUGGAUGCCUUGGCAGUCAGAGGCGAUGAAAGACGUGAUAGCCUGCGAAAAGCUCCGGGGAGGCGGCAAAUAUCCUUUGAUCCGGAGAUGUCUGAAUGGGGGAACCCACCUACUUUAAGGUAGGUAUUGCAACAUGAAUACAUAGUGUUGCAAGGCGAACGAGGGGAAGUGAAACAUCUCAGUACCCUUAGGAAAAGAAAUCAAUUGAGAUUCCCUCAGUAGCGGCGAGCGAACGGGGAUCAGCCCAUUAAGUUAUGUGUGUUUUAGUGGAACGCUCUGGGAAGUGCGAACGUAGAGGGUGAUAUUCCCGUACACGAAAGGGCACACAUAAUGAUGACGAGUAGGGCGAGGCACGUGAAACCUUGUCUGAAUAUGGGGGGACCAUCCUCCAAGGCUAAAUACUCCUGACUGACCGAUAGUGAACCAGUACCGUGAGGGAAAGGCGAAAAGAACCCCUGUGAGGGGAGUGAAAUAGAUCCUGAAACCGCAUGCAUACAAGCAGUGGGAGCACCUUCGUGGUGUGACUGCGUACCUUUUGUAUAAUGGGUCAGCGACUUAUAUUCAGUAGCGAGGUUAACCGUAUAGGGGAGCCGUAGAGAAAUCGAGUCUUAAUAGGGCGUUUAGUUGCUGGGUAUAGACCCGAAACCAGGCGAUCUAUCCAUGAGCAGGUUGAAGGUUGGGUAACACUAACUGGAGGACCGAACCCACUGUCGUUGAAAAGCCAGGGGAUGACUUGUGGAUAGGGGUGAAAGGCUAAUCAAGCCUGGUGAUAGCUGGUUCUCCCCGAAAGCUAUUUAGGUAGCGCCUCGGACGAAUACCAUAGGGGGUAGAGCACUGUUUCGGCUAGGGGGUCAUCCCGACUUACCAAACCGAUGCAAACUCCGAAUACCUAUGAGUACUAUCCGGGAGACAGACUGCGGGUGCUAACGUCCGUAGUCAAGAGGAAAACAAUCCAGACCGCCAGCUAAGGCCCCAAAAUCAUAGUUAAGUGGGAAACGAUGUGGGAAGGCAUAGACAGCUAGGAGGUUGGCUUAGAAGCAGCCACCCUUUAAAGAAAGCGUAAUAGCUCACUAGUCGAGUCGGCCUGCGCGGAAGAUGUAACGGGGCUAAAACUAUGUGCCGAAGCUGCGGAUGUAUACUUUGUAUACGUGGUAGGGGAGCGUUCUGUAAGCCGAUGAAGGUGUGUUGAGAAGCAUGCUGGAGGUAUCAGAAGUGCGAAUGCUGACGUGAGUAACGACAAAACGGGUGAAAAACCCGUUCGCCGAAAGACCAAGGGUUCCAGUCCAACGUUAAUCGGGGCUGGGUGAGUCGACCCCUAAGGCGAGGCCGAAAGGCGUAGUCGAUGGGAAAAUGGUUAAUAUUCCAUUACUUCUGUGUAAUGCGAUGAGAGGACGGAGAAGGCUAAAUCAGCCUGGCGUUGGUUGUCCAGGUGAAAGGAUGUAGGCAUGUAUCUUAGGCAAAUCCGGGGUACUCUAUGCUGAGAUCUGAUAGCAAGCUGUACUUGUACAGCGAAGUGGUUGAUGCCAUGCUUCCAGGAAAAGUCUCUAAGCUUCAGUUACACAGGAAUCGUACCCGAAACCGACACAGGUGGUCAGGUCGAGUAGACCAAGGCGCUUGAGAGAACUCUGCUGAAGGAACUAGGCAAAAUGGUACCGUAACUUCGGGAGAAGGUACGCUGUUGUUGGUGAUGGAACUCGCUUCCUGAGCUGACGACAGCCGCAGAAACCAGGCCGCUGCAACUGUUUAUUAAAAACAUAGCACUCUGCAAACACGAAAGUGGACGUAUAGGGUGUGAUGCCUGCCCGGUGCUGGAAGGUUAAUUGAUGGGGUUAGCGUAAGCGAAGCUCUUGAUCGAAGCCCCAGUAAACGGCGGCCGUAACUAUAACGGUCCUAAGGUAGCGAAAUUCCUUGUCGGGUAAGUUCCGACCUGCACGAAUGGCAUAAUGAUGGCGGCGCUGUCUCCAGCAGAGGCUCAGUGAAAUCGAAAUCGCUGUGAAGAUGCAGUGUACCCGCGGCUAGACGGAAAGACCCCGUGAACCUUUACUGCAGCUUGACACUGAACUUUGACCUUACUUGUGUAGGAUAGGUGGGAGGCUUUGAAGCUGGAACGCUAGUUCCAGUGGAGCCGUCCUUGAAAUACCACCCUGGUAAUGUUGAGGUUCUAACUCUGUCCCGUGAUCCGGGACGAGGACCGUGUCUGGUGGGUAGUUUGACUGGGGCGGUCUCCUCCUAAAGAGUAACGGAGGAGUACGAAGGUGCGCUCAGCGUGGUCGGAAAUCACGCGUAGAGUAUAAAGGCAAAAGCGCGCUUAACUGCGAGACCCACAAGUCGAGCAGGUACGAAAGUAGGUCUUAGUGAUCCGGUGGUUCUGUAUGGAAGGGCCAUCGCUCAACGGAUAAAAGGUACUCUGGGGAUAACAGGCUGAUACCGCCCAAGAGUUCAUAUCGACGGCGGUGUUUGGCACCUCGAUGUCGGCUCAUCUCAUCCUGGGGCUGAAGCAGGUCCCAAGGGUAUGGCUGUUCGCCAUUUAAAGAGGUACGCGAGCUGGGUUUAGAACGUCGUGAGACAGUUCGGUCCCUAUCUACCGUGGGCGCUGGAAAUUUGAGAGGAUCUGCUCCUAGUACGAGAGGACCAGAGUGGACGAACCUCUGGUGUACCGGUUGUGACGCCAGUCGCAUCGCCGGGUAGCUAUGUUCGGAAGGGAUAACCGCUGAAAGCAUCUAAGCGGGAAGCCUACCUCAAGAUAAGAUUUCCCUAGGACUUUAUGUCCUCUAAAGAGCCGUUCGAGACUAGGACGUUGAUAGGUUGGAUGUGUAAGCAUAGUGAUAUGUGAAGCUGACCAAUACUAAUUGCUCGUGAGGCUUGACUAU